Molecule: ribosomal RNA, 490 nt
Filed under: uncultured bacterium
Lineage: Bacteria
Description: partial 16S ribosomal RNA
Rfam family: Bacterial small subunit ribosomal RNA
Source: RNAcentral
AUUGAACGCUGGCGGCAGGCCUAACACAUGCAGGUCGAAUGGUAACAGGAAACAGCUUGCUGUUUCGCUGACGAGUGGCGGACGGGUGAGUAAUGUCUGGGAAACUGCCUGAUGGAGGGGGAUAACUACUGGAAACGGUAGCUAAUACCGCAUAACGUCGCAAGACCAAAGAGGGGGACCUUCGGGCCUCUUGCCAUCAGAUGUGCCCAGAUGGGAUUAGCUAGUAGGUGGGGUAACGGCUCACCUAGGCGACGAUCCCUAGCUGGUCUGAGAGGAUGACCAGCCACACUGGAACUGAGACACGGUCCAGACCCCUACGGGAGGCAGCAGUGGGGAAUAUUGCACAAUGGGCGCAAGCCUGAUGCAGCCAUGCCGCGUGUAUGAAGAAGGCCUUCGGGUUGUAAAGUACUUUCAGCGGGGAGGAAGGGAGUAAAGUUAAUACCUUUGCUCAUUGACGUUACCCGCAGAAGAAGCACUGGCUAACUCCGUG